This 72-nucleotide transfer RNA is filed under the name Schistosoma mansoni. Lineage: Eukaryota; Metazoa; Platyhelminthes; Trematoda; Strigeidida; Schistosomatidae. The record is from RNAcentral.
UCUCAGUAGCUGAGUGGAUAACGCAAUGGCGUUUCAAGAGAAAGGUACUGGGUUCGAGUCCCAGAAAGUACA